Long non-coding RNA from Thunnus maccoyii (southern bluefin tuna), 568 nucleotides. RefSeq lists it as uncharacterized. The transcript has 3 exons. NCBI's taxonomy places the organism in Eukaryota, Metazoa, Chordata, Actinopteri, Scombriformes, Scombridae. The record is from RefSeq and is a predicted model, not a curated record.
CAUGUCUCCCCGGGUGUCGGUGCUUGUUUUCACCAGAAACCAGUUUCUCCUGCUUUUUGCCCGCUCAGCCUGCUCUCGGUGUGUCUAUCUCCAGAUGGCAGGAGGGUUGCUCCGGUUCUGGUUCUAAGUGGCGGUCGUCCUCUGGUUCAUCCCCUCGGAGGAUGACGCCCUGGUGGCAGCCUGAAGCCCACCAUCACUAACUCUUAAUGGAGACAGGUGUGCUGGAGUCGGAGCAGAGCCACCCCAGCUGCACCUCAUCAUUGAUAUCAAGCCCUCUACAAAUACCCAGCCCUGCCAGAUCGUAGCCUCUCCUUCAACCCUGUCUCCAGACCCUCGUCUCAACUCAUCAGCCCUGCUUGCCUGCCCUAGAUCCCUGCUCUUCCCAGCUUAUAGCCCAAGCUCCAGCCCCAGUUUUCCAGCUACAUGCCUAAGCCUCAGAUCCUGGUUCCCGGCUUCCAACCCCAGCCCCAACCCUAGUUUCCCAGCCACCUGCCCAAGCUCCAGUCCCAGUUCCCAGUUACCUGCCCAAGCUUCCCCAAGCCUGCAUUCCCUUUCCCCAGCCUUUACA